GACGAACGCUGGCGGCGUGCUUAAACACAUGCAAGUCGAGCGGUAAGGCCCUUUCGGGGGUACACGAGCGGCGAACGGGUGAGUAACACGUGGGUGACCUGCCCUCAGCUCUGGGAUAAGCCUGGGAAACUGGGUCUAAUACCGGAUAUGACUUCGCAUCGCAUGGUGUGGGGUGGAAAGUUUUUCGGCUGGGGAUGGGCCCGCGGCCUAUCAGCUUGUUGGUGGGGUGAUGGCCUACCAAGGCGACGACGGGUAGCCGGCCUGAGAGGGCGACCGGCCACACUGGGACUGAGACACGGCCCAGACUCCUACGGGAGGCAGCAGUGGGGAAUAUUGCGCAAUGGGCGGAAGCCUGACGCAGCGACGCCGCGUGGGGAUGAC
This 381-nucleotide ribosomal RNA is filed under the name uncultured bacterium. RNAcentral describes it as "bacterial SSU rRNA". It matches the Rfam family "Bacterial small subunit ribosomal RNA", at positions 28 to 412 of the family's 1533-position model. The record is from RNAcentral.